RNAcentral lists this unclassified non-coding RNA (354 nucleotides) under Acacia mangium. RNAcentral describes it as "partial external transcribed spacer". The record is from RNAcentral. Lineage: Eukaryota; Viridiplantae; Streptophyta; Magnoliopsida; Fabales; Fabaceae.
UUCACCGAACGGUCGGCGGGCGAUCCGCGUCGGUCUCGCUGGGUGGUAUGGUUCCCCAGAGGCCGGUUCUUGUGCUGCCUACCCCUCAAGGGGAAGCGGGCCGCUCGAUGCAAGCCUCCAUCCCGCGCCCUCCAACGGGCGCAGGAGGACAACGGAGCACCCCCCGCGUUCCACCGAGCCUCCUCGGUCGCGUGGCGCGCGGGGACGUGCGAUGCUCUCGGACCCAGCGAACGCCGUGGGCGAGGACUCACGUCCCAGUCCCGAUAGAAGCUCCCACAUAAUGCAUGACGGCCGGUCCCGUCCCCCGACCGCCCCGGCGGCGCGGUGGGCGAGGCGCGGCGUCGCGGAGGAAUG